AUUGAACGCUGGCGGCAUGCCUUACACAUGCAAGUCGAACGGCAGCACGGGAGCAAUCCUGGUGGCGAGUGGCGAACGGGUGAGUAAUACAUCGGAACGCGCCCAAUCGUGGGGGAUAACGCAGCGAAAGCUGUGCUAAUACCGCAUACGAUCUACGGAUGAAAGCAGGGGAUCGCAAGACCUUGCGCGAAUGGAGCGGCCGAUGGCAGAUUAGGUAGUUGGUGAGGUAAAGGCUCACCAAGCCGUCGAUCUGUAGCUGGUCUGAGAGGACGACCAGCCACACUGGGACUGAGACACGGCCCAGACUCCUACGGGAGGCAGCAGUGGGGAAUUUUGGACAAUGGGCGAAAGCCUGAUCCAGCCAUGCCGCGUGCAGGAUGAAGGCCUUCGGGUUGUAAACUGCUUUUGUACGGAACGAAACGGCCUUUUCUAAUAAAGAGGGCUAAUGACGGUACCGUAAGAAUAAGCACCGGCUAACUACGUGCCAGCAGCCGCGGUAAUACGUAGGGUGCAAGCGUUAAUCGGAAUUACUGGGCGUAAAGCGUGCGCAGGCGGUUAUGUAAGACAGUUGUGAGAUUCCCGGGCUCAACCUGGGAACUGCAUCUGUGACUGCAUAGCUAGAGUACGGUAGAGGGGGAUGGAAUUCCGCGUGUAGCAGUGAAAUGCGUAGAUAUGCGGAGGAACACCGAUGGCGAAGGCAAUCCCCUGGACCUGUACUGACGCUCAUGCACGAAAGCGUGGGGAGCAAACAGG
RNAcentral lists this ribosomal RNA (753 nucleotides) under uncultured Comamonadaceae bacterium. RNAcentral describes it as "bacterial SSU rRNA". It matches the Rfam family "Bacterial small subunit ribosomal RNA", at positions 28 to 776 of the family's 1533-position model. Lineage: Bacteria; Pseudomonadati; Pseudomonadota; Betaproteobacteria; Burkholderiales; Comamonadaceae. The record is from RNAcentral.